AGCAGCCGCGGUAAUUCCAGCUCCAAUAGCGUAUAUUAAAGUUGUUGCAGUUAAAAAGCUCGUAGUUGAAUUUCGGGAUUGACACAUCGGUCGUGCCUUAAGGGGUAUGAACUGGUGUAGUCAAUUUCUCACCUUCUGGAGAACCGCGAUGCCCUUAAAUUGGGUGUCGCGGGGAACCAGGACCUUUACUUUGAAAAAAUUAGAGUGUUUAAAGCAGGCAUUUUGCUUGAAUACAUUAGCAUGGAAUAAUAAAAUAGGACGGCAUGAUUCUAUUUUGUUGGUUUCUAGGAUCACCGUAAUGAUUAAUAGGGAUAGUUGGGGGCAUUAGUAUUCAAUUGUCAGAGGUGAAAUUCUUGGAUUUAUUGAAGACUAACUACUGCGAAAGCAUUUGCCAAGGAUGUUUUCAUUAAUCAAGAACGAAGUUAGGGAUCGAAGACGAUCAGAUACCGUCGUAGUCUUAACCAUAAACCUAUGACCGACUAGGAAUCAGACGAUGUUAAUUUUUAAUGGUCUCGUUUGG
RNAcentral lists this ribosomal RNA (520 nucleotides) under uncultured Entrophospora. RNAcentral describes it as "SSU rRNA". It matches the Rfam family "Eukaryotic small subunit ribosomal RNA", at positions 569 to 1083 of the family's 1831-position model. The record is from RNAcentral. Lineage: Eukaryota; Fungi; Glomeromycota; Glomeromycetes; Entrophosporales; Entrophosporaceae.